GAUGCUGAUCCCAACCCUGCCAAAGAGAAGCCUCCUCCACCAAAUCUCCUUCUUUGUGGAAAGUAUGAACCUCCUGCUCCAACCCCUGCUCCCUCAGUGUCCCCAACACCAAGUGCUCCAUCAUCCAAUGCAUGUAAUCUGCAUAAAACAAGGUAUCUGAUUGCUAUGAUCACCACUGUCAUAUGUCUCUUCUAUAUCGGUGUUCAUUAAUUGAGAUGGUGCACCCUUUGCUAAGGAGAUGGGAGAUAUGAAGCACAAAAACUCCUGCUGUAUUUUUAUUUUUCUUUUUAAAUUGGUCUAUCACG
Long non-coding RNA from Vigna radiata var. radiata (mung bean), 305 nucleotides. RefSeq lists it as uncharacterized. The record is from RefSeq and is a predicted model, not a curated record. Lineage: Eukaryota; Viridiplantae; Streptophyta; Magnoliopsida; Fabales; Fabaceae. The transcript has 3 exons.